RNAcentral lists this long non-coding RNA (200 nucleotides) under Elaeis guineensis (African oil palm). RNAcentral's name for it is "long non-coding RNA (EGUI_LNC017634)". The record is from RNAcentral. Lineage: Eukaryota; Viridiplantae; Streptophyta; Magnoliopsida; Arecales; Arecaceae.
UCCUCAUUUGACACCCGCAUUAGUCAGAUCUCUCUCUAAGAUAAGUCGGAUGUUAAUUCUCUUUCUUCAUUGCUUUAUUAUUUUUCAUCAUUUUUCUUCUUUAAAAAUUUUUGCCUUUGUCAUAUCAACAAUAAUGAAAUUUAACCCACAAAGGCUAGCCGAAUCGAAGAAGAGGAAGCAGGAUCUACCUGACCAAUCUA